Molecule: long non-coding RNA, 633 nt
Organism: Arachis stenosperma
Lineage: Eukaryota; Viridiplantae; Streptophyta; Magnoliopsida; Fabales; Fabaceae
Exons: 3
Source: RefSeq, a predicted model, not a curated record
ACUUAAGGGGAAGGUUUGACUUAUUUAUCCUCCACUAUAUAUAGCUAUUAAGGUUUGGAUCCCUUGAUUUUUAAUUUUCACGUAUGUGUAGCUAUUAAGGCUUCCUUUGCAUUCUUCUACAACCUUACUCUAACUUUUGAUGAGGAAAAUUAUGGAAUAGCUUGUGAUCUUAAUUCCAAAGGCUACCAUGUUUUGUCCAAAGCAACUGAAGUAGUUGGGCAUGUGAAGCCUUACUCAAUUACUGGAAGUUUGCCACUCAUUCGGGAGCUACAGGAUGAAGGUUUUGAUGUCCAAACUGCUGGAUAUGGUCUAAUGGCUACAUACCAUGCCCAGAAUGAGUACUGCCUUUUUACGGAUAUGUCUCAAGGGUAUCGAGUUUUUGCAAGCAUCAUCGCUCAGUUAGAGGAAGAUUGAGACUACUAGUUGAACUUCAUUCAAGCAUUCCACGGCCUAUAAAUAUGUCAUUGCUGCUAAAGCUGAAGGAAGACCUUAAGUGACUCUGUAUUCAUUGUAUGUAUGAAGUAGAAGUUUGGUGGUAUUGAUUUCUACACUAGUCUUACGAAAAUAGUUGACUUAGUACACUAUUAUCUAAGUUAUAUGUUGUUUUAUACUAUUACUAAUAUGUAUUUUCUU